This 73-nucleotide transfer RNA is filed under the name archaeon. RNAcentral's name for it is "tRNA-Arg". It matches the Rfam family "tRNA". From Rfam's summary of the family: Transfer RNA (tRNA) molecules are approximately 80 nucleotides in length. The record is from RNAcentral. RNAcentral also lists the same sequence under 7 other names.
GGAGUCGUGUGGUAGCGGACUAUCCCUUCGGGCUUCGGACCCGAUGACCUGGGUUCAAAUCCCAGCGGCUCCG